RNAcentral lists this transfer RNA (71 nucleotides) under Motilimonas sp. 1_MG-2023. Its description in RNAcentral is "tRNA-Gln". It matches the Rfam family "tRNA". From Rfam's summary of the family: Transfer RNA (tRNA) molecules are approximately 80 nucleotides in length. Their secondary structure includes four short double-helical elements and three loops (D, anti-codon, and T loops). Further hydrogen bonds mediate the characteristic L-shaped molecular structure. tRNAs have two regions of fundamental functional importance: the anti-codon, which is responsible for specific mRNA codon recognition, and the 3' end, to which the tRNAs corresponding amino acid is attached (by aminoacyl-tRNA synthetases). tRNAs cope with the degeneracy of the genetic code in two manners: having more than one tRNA (with a specific anti-codon) for a particular amino acid; and 'wobble' base-pairing, i.e. permitting non-standard base-pairing at the 3rd anti-codon position. The record is from RNAcentral. Lineage: Bacteria; Pseudomonadati; Pseudomonadota; Gammaproteobacteria; Alteromonadales.
AGGGAUAUCGCCAAGCGGUAAGGCACCGGGUUUUGAUCUCGGCAUUCUGAGGUUCAAAUCCUCAUAUCCCU